CCUACGGGUGGCUGCAGUGAGGAAUCUUGGACAAUGGGCGAAAGCCUGAUCCAGCCAUGCCGCGUGAGUGAUGAAGGCCUUCGGGUUGUAAAGCUCUUUUAGAUGUGAAGAUGAUGACGGUAGCAUCAGAAAAAGCUCCGGCUAACUCCGUGCCAGCAGCCGCGGUAAUACGGAGGGAGCGAGCGUUGUUCGGAAUUACUGGGCGUAAAGCGUAUGUAGGCGGCUUUGUAAGUCAGAUGUGAAAGCCCCGAGCUUAACUUGGGAACUGCAUUUGAGACUGCAAGGCUUGAAUGUCGGAGAGGUUGGCGGAAUUCCCAGUGUAGCAGUGAAAUGCGCAGAUAUUGGGAGGAACACCGAUGGCGUAAGCAGCCAACUGGACGACGAUUGACGCUGAGAUACGAAAGCGUGGGGAGCAAACAGGAUUAGAUACCCCUGUAGUC
RNAcentral lists this ribosomal RNA (440 nucleotides) under uncultured Aquicella sp. Its description in RNAcentral is "bacterial SSU rRNA". It matches the Rfam family "Bacterial small subunit ribosomal RNA", at positions 338 to 795 of the family's 1533-position model. Lineage: Bacteria; Pseudomonadati; Pseudomonadota; Gammaproteobacteria; Legionellales; Coxiellaceae. The record is from RNAcentral.